CGGUGUUUAACUGGCGUGAUGUGGGACGUCCUACCGGUGGGCUUAGCCUCACGAGGGGCGGCCCAACUAAUAUCCCGUCGCGGUGCUCUUUACUGAGUGUCGAGUCGGGCCGGUACGUUUACUUUGAACAAAUUAGAGUGCUUAAAGCAGGCUAUCCUCGCCUGAAUACUGCGUGCAUGGAAUAAUGGAAUAGGACCUCGGUUCUAUUUUGUUGGUUUUCGGAACCCCGAGGUAAUGAUUAAUAGGGACAGAUGGGGGCAUUCGUAUUGCGACGUUAGAGGUGAAAUUCUUGGAUCGUCGCAAGACGGACAGAAGCGAAAGCAUUUGCCAAAAAUGUUUUCAUUAAUCAAGAACGAAAGUUAGAGGUUCGAAGGCGAUCAGAUACCGCCCUAGUUCUAACCAUAAACGAUGCCAGCUAGCGAUCCGCCGAAGUUCCUCCGAUGACUCGGCGGGCAGCUUCCGGGAAACCAAAGCUUUUGGGUUCCGGGGGAAGUAUGGUUGCAAAGCUGAAACUUAAAGGAAUUGACGGAAGGGCACCACCAGGAGUGGAGCCUGCGGCUUAAUUUGACUCAACACGGGAAACCUCACCAGGCCCAGACACCGGAAGGAUUGACAGAUUGAUAGCUCUUUCUUGAUUCGGUGGGUGGUGGUGCAUGGCCCGUUCUUAGUUGGUGGAGCGAUUUGUCUGGUUAAUUCCGAUAACGAACGAGACUCUAGCCUGCUAAAUAGGCGUACCUUAUGGUAUCGCGAAGGCCCCCGGCUUCGGCCGGUGGGUUUUUACUACCAACGUACAAACAAAUCUUCUUAGAGGGACAGGCGG
This 820-nucleotide ribosomal RNA is filed under the name uncultured eukaryote. RNAcentral's name for it is "SSU rRNA". It matches the Rfam family "Eukaryotic small subunit ribosomal RNA", at positions 629 to 1426 of the family's 1831-position model. The record is from RNAcentral.